This 372-nucleotide ribosomal RNA is filed under the name uncultured organism. Its description in RNAcentral is "bacterial SSU rRNA". It matches the Rfam family "Bacterial small subunit ribosomal RNA", at positions 526 to 896 of the family's 1533-position model. The record is from RNAcentral.
CGUAGGGGGCAAGCGUUGUCCGGAAUCAUUGGGCGUAAAGCGCGCGUAGGCGGCCCGGUAAGUCCGCUCUGAAAGUCCAAGGCUCAACCUUGGGAUGCGGGUGGAUACUGCCGGGCUAGAGUCCGGAAGAGGCGAGUGGAAUUCCUGGUGUAGCGGUGGAAUGCGCAGAUAUCAGGAGGAACACCGAUAGCGAAGGCAGCUCGCUGGGACGGUACUGACGCUAAGGCGCGAAAGCGUGGGGAGCGAACAGGAUUAGAUACCCUGGUAGUCCACGCCGUAAACGAUGGGCAUUAGGUGUGGGAGGUGUCGACUCCUCCCGUGCCGGCGCUAACGCAUUAAAUGCCCCGCCUGGGGAGUACGGCCGCAAGGCUA